Molecule: non-coding RNA, 410 nt
Organism: Actinobacteria bacterium IMCC26207
Lineage: Bacteria; Bacillati; Actinomycetota; Actinomycetes
Rfam family: Bacterial RNase P class A
About the family: Ribonuclease P (RNase P) is a ubiquitous endoribonuclease, found in archaea, bacteria and eukarya as well as chloroplasts and mitochondria. Its best characterised activity is the generation of mature 5'-ends of tRNAs by cleaving the 5'-leader elements of precursor-tRNAs. Cellular RNase Ps are ribonucleoproteins.
Source: Rfam
UGAGUCAGUCGGGUGACCGCGUCUCGGGUUGUUCGCAAGGGCACUCGGGCCGAGGAAGGUCGGGACUCCAUAGAGCAGGGUGCUAGUGAGAGCUAGGUCGGAGUGAUCUGACGGUUAGGGCAGCAGAGAGCAGACCGCCGAUGGCCCAGCUACUCCUUCGGGGGCUGUUGGGAACAGGCAAGGGUGAAACGGUGCGGUAAGAGCGCACCAGCGUCGGGAGCGAUUUCGGCGGCUUGGUAACCCCCACCCGGAGCAAGGUCAAGCAGUGGUUCGGGCAGCUCGUCCGCCAACGUGAUUCCCUCGGGAGGAGCAGCGGCAGCCACGGGUAGACCGCAUAGAUGGAUGGUCACCAAACGGAACCCCCGCAAGGGGCCCGGGCACAGAAUCCCGCCUACAGACUGACUCACCGA